GAGAUGGAAGACAGGAAAGACAGAAACUAAUAAGGAGAAAAGAAGGCAGAGAAAUCCACAUAAUCAGACAUGUGAAAUGAAGACAUUUCAAGUAAGACUGAAACAGUUUUUAAAAUGAAGUUUGUUUGAUUUCUUCUUUUUUCCCCUUCAGAAAAUUUAAAAGAGAAUAUUCAUUUUUCAGGAAAAUGUCAGCCAAAGUUUUAAAUCAAUUUUAGUGCUCAUUUAU
RNAcentral lists this long non-coding RNA (226 nucleotides) under Anser cygnoides (Swan goose). Its description in RNAcentral is "lncRNA (ENSACDG00005013944.1)". Lineage: Eukaryota; Metazoa; Chordata; Aves; Anseriformes; Anatidae. The record is from RNAcentral.